CCUACGGGAGGCAGCAGUGAGGAAUAUUGGUCAAUGGGCGGGAGCCUGAACCAGCCAAGCCGCGUGAGGGAAGAAGGUACAGCGUAUCGUAAACCUCUUUUGUCAGGGAACAAAGGCGGGGACUAGUCCCCGGAUGAGGGUACCUGAAGAAAAAGCAUCGGCUAACUCCGUUCCAGCAGCCGCGGUAAUACGGAGGAUGCGAGCGUUAUCCGGAUUUAUGGGGUUUAAAGGGUGCGCGGGCGGCCUGUUAAGUCAGCGGUAAAAGCCCGGGGCUAAACCCCGGCGAGCCGUUGAAACUGGCGGGCUGGAGUUGGAGAGAAGUACGCGGAAUGCGCGGUGUAGCGGUGAAAUGCUUAGAUAUCGCGCAGAACCCCGAUUGCGAAGGCAGCGUACCGGCUCCACACUGACGCUGAGGCACGAAAGCGUGGGUAUCGAACAGGAUUAGAUACCCGAGUAGUC
This 459-nucleotide ribosomal RNA is filed under the name uncultured bacterium. RNAcentral describes it as "partial 16S ribosomal RNA". It matches the Rfam family "Bacterial small subunit ribosomal RNA", at positions 338 to 795 of the family's 1533-position model. The record is from RNAcentral.